GAUGAAGAACGCAGCGAAAUGCGAUAAGUAAUGUGAAUUGCAGAAUUCAGUGAAUCAUCGAAUCUUUGAACGCACAUUGCGCCCGCUAGUAUUCUGGCGGGCAUGCCUGUCCGAGCGUCAUUUCAACCCUCAAGCCCCCGGGCUUGGUGUUGGGGAUCGGCGAGCCUCCGCGCCCGCCGUCCCCUAAAUCUAGUGGCGGUCUCGCUGUAGCUUCCUCUGCGUAGUAGCACACCUCGCACUGGGAAACAGCGCGGCCACGCCGUUGAACCCCCAACUUCUGAACGUUUGACCUCGGAUCAGGUAGGAAUACCCGCUGAACUUAAGCAUAUCAAUAAGCGGAGGA
RNAcentral lists this unclassified non-coding RNA (343 nucleotides) under soil metagenome. Its description in RNAcentral is "partial contains 5.8S ribosomal RNA, internal transcribed spacer 2, and large subunit ribosomal RNA". The stretch from base 1 to 120 matches the Rfam family "5.8S ribosomal RNA", at positions 35 to 154 of the family's 154-position model. The record is from RNAcentral.